GGUAAUACGGAGGGUGCAAGCGUUGUUCGGAUUUACUGGGCGUAAAGGACGUGCAGGCGGUUUGGUAAGUCAGAUGUGAAAGCCCCGGGCUUAACCCGGGAAGUGCAUUUGAAACUGCCUUUCUUGAGUAUGGGAGAGGAGAGUGGAAUUCCCAGUGUAGAGGUGAAAUUCGUAGAUAUUGGGAGGAACACCGGUGGCGAAGGCGACUCUCUGGACCAAUACUGACGCUGAGACGCGAAAGCGUGGGGAGCAAACAGGAUUAGAUACCCCGGUAGUCCAAGC
Molecule: ribosomal RNA, 282 nt
Filed under: uncultured bacterium
Lineage: Bacteria
Description: partial 16S ribosomal RNA
Rfam family: Bacterial small subunit ribosomal RNA
Source: RNAcentral